UUAUGAAGAACCAGAAUGCACUAUGGCAGUUCAUAGGCAAAGUGCUAAUCAAAACGAAUUGUUGAAAGAUGAGAGUUUGAAUGAAGGAGGAAAAUUGAAACAAAAAAGUGAAACACAAAUAUGUGACUAUGAUGAGCUGCACAUUGAAGAAGAACAACAAAACUACGAAGAACUAGACUUAUAAUAAGAACAUUCAUUGCAAAAUUGAAAAACAGAGCUUUUCAUUUUACUAAAAGCAGGAUAAAUGUUGUAUAUUGACGUCAAAGUAUAGCAAUUUUAAUAAAUGUAUUAGCUUUU
Molecule: long non-coding RNA, 297 nt
Organism: Saccostrea cuccullata (small rock oyster)
Lineage: Eukaryota; Metazoa; Mollusca; Bivalvia; Ostreida; Ostreidae
Exons: 2
Source: RefSeq, a predicted model, not a curated record